This 468-nucleotide ribosomal RNA is filed under the name Triticum aestivum (bread wheat). RNAcentral describes it as "partial small subunit ribosomal RNA". The record is from RNAcentral. Lineage: Eukaryota; Viridiplantae; Streptophyta; Magnoliopsida; Poales; Poaceae.
AUGAAGCGCGUAGUGGGGAGCCCGGGAACAUGGAGCGGCGUGGCGCUGCGGCUGUCGCAGUGCGCCUUCGCCGCCGCGUCCACCUUCGCGUUGGACUCCGGCUUCGGCUACUCCAACUACAGCGCCUACGCCUACAUGGAUACAGUGUUGACCCUGCAGCUUGUGUGGAGUUUGUACCUUGCUUGUAAGGAUAUCUUUGCUCUCAGGAAUAAAAAGGAUCUUCACACCCCACAUGAUCUAUUGUUCUUUGUUGUCAUUGACUGGGCCUUGGCGACUCUCAUGUUCUCAGGAGCCUGUGCCUCCGCGAGCCUGACAAUUUUCUUCAUGUGGGAUGUGAACCUCUGUGGGGCAUACUCGCGGCUGGCCUGCCGGCAGUUCGCUCUUUCAGUCACCCUGGCGUUCAUGACAUGGUUGUUGCAAGCUGCAUCAUCUUUCUCUGGGUUUUGGCUACUGGUCUCAUUCUUCUAG